This 67-nucleotide transfer RNA is filed under the name Dipodomys ordii (Ord's kangaroo rat). RNAcentral's name for it is "tRNA-Pro". It matches the Rfam family "tRNA". Rfam says of the family: Transfer RNA (tRNA) molecules are approximately 80 nucleotides in length. Lineage: Eukaryota; Metazoa; Chordata; Mammalia; Rodentia; Heteromyidae. The record is from RNAcentral.
CAGGGAGUAGUUUAAAAAGAAUUCCAGCUUUGGGAGUUGGAGGUAGGAUGUAAAAUCUUCUCCUUGA